UGAUGUGAGGGCAAUCUGGCUGUGACAUCUGUCACUCCAUUGAUUGCUAGGGUUGAUUUGGCUGAUCUGGCUGGCUAGGCAGGUAUCCACUUCUUCCCACACUGCUCCACAUGCAUCCCUCCUGAAGCUGCGUGCUCAGUCGGAGGACAACCAUCCUGAUAAAGCAGGACCAGUCUUCAGUCAAGGGUAUAUGAGUAGCUGCCCUUCCUAGCUAGAAUCUCCAAACAAGCUCUCAAGGCCCAUUGUAGGAGAACGUAGAGUAGUCAAACUUCCAAGAUUUCAGACACAUCCAAAUGAGGCGCUGCAUGUGACAGUCUGCCUUU
RNAcentral lists this small nuclear RNA (323 nucleotides) under Cebus imitator (Panamanian white-faced capuchin). RNAcentral's name for it is "7SK RNA (ENSCCAG00000008955.1)". It matches the Rfam family "7SK RNA". From Rfam's summary of the family: 7SK was discovered as an abundant small nuclear RNA in the mid-70s but a possible function has only recently been suggested. Two independent studies have found that 7SK RNA binds the CDK9/cyclin T complex (known as elongation factor P-TEFb). Lineage: Eukaryota; Metazoa; Chordata; Mammalia; Primates; Cebidae. The record is from RNAcentral.